This 825-nucleotide long non-coding RNA is filed under the name Vigna radiata. RNAcentral's name for it is "long non-coding RNA (VRAD_LNC007952)". The record is from RNAcentral. Lineage: Eukaryota; Viridiplantae; Streptophyta; Magnoliopsida; Fabales; Fabaceae.
AAACACCUUUACUACUACAUCCUACAUACUCUCACUCUGAUUGGCACACACCUAUAAAGAUCAUUGACCCCCAAUCCUUUCUCUAACCUCACACUUCCAAUCAAACCUUUAACCUCACUUUCUCUGCAACUACCCUUCUCCCCUCUGCUACAUUUACAUUCCCUCUUCCUAACACACAUUAAUCCAAGUUGUUGUUCCAUAUUUACACAAAGAAUUUGUCUCACUCGUGCAAAACAGAGUCACCAAACCCAAAUAUUCACGCAACCCAUAUGCUAAAAUAAAAUAGCUAUAACUAUAACACAAUUACAAAAUUUAAAAACUCACAAGAGGAGUGUCGUUCUCCCUCAGGGUUUGCCGGAAGCGAGUGACAAUGGGUUCCUAAACCCAGUGCACGAACACAGAUUCUACACCAAUGGCACGAUCAACACCUGAUAAAAAUGUGUUUUCAUCAAAAUAAAGGCAAAGGAGAAACGAAGCCGAGAAGAGAAGAAGGGAGAAGGAACGUGAAACCUGAAAAUGGAAGUCCUGAAACGAAGGAGAAACGGGAGUGCACUGAAGGAGCGAGCAAAGAUGUACACGUCAAAUUGAAGGAGAACCGCCGAAGGCACCUAACGCACUGAUGAAACGGAAGGGAUGGAGCCUUAACGCACUGUGAACGGAGGAGAAGAAGCCCUAAAGUAUUGUGAACGGAGGAGAAGGAGCCUAACGUUGAUGAAACGAAGGACAGGAGCCCUAGCCACUGAUCAAACGGAGGAGAAGCGCGAAUCAAACCAAGGAACAGCGCGAAGAAGCAACGCGAAGAGUGAAAACGAGGAGCAGCGCGAG